UACGAGGGACCCGAGCGUUAUCCGGAUUUAUUGGGUUUAAAGGGUGCGUAGGCGGAUUAGUAAGUCAGUGGUGAAAGCCCAUCGCUUAACGGUGGAACUGCCAUUGAUACUGCUAGUCUUGAGUAUGGUUGAGGUGGGCGGAAUGUGUCAUGUAGCGGUGAAAUGCUUAGAUAUGACACAGAACACCAAUUGCGAAGGCAGCUCGCUAAACCAUAACUGACGCUGAGGCACGAAAGCGUGGGGAGCAAACAGG
This 253-nucleotide ribosomal RNA is filed under the name uncultured bacterium. Its description in RNAcentral is "partial 16S ribosomal RNA". It matches the Rfam family "Bacterial small subunit ribosomal RNA", at positions 524 to 776 of the family's 1533-position model. The record is from RNAcentral.